This 521-nucleotide unclassified non-coding RNA is filed under the name Lactobacillus amylovorus. RNAcentral describes it as "partial contains 16S ribosomal RNA, 16S-23S intergenic spacer, and 23S ribosomal RNA". The stretch from base 332 to 521 matches the Rfam family "Bacterial large subunit ribosomal RNA", at positions 1 to 191 of the family's 2925-position model. Lineage: Bacteria; Bacillati; Bacillota; Bacilli; Lactobacillales; Lactobacillaceae. The record is from RNAcentral.
AGAGUUUGCAAUGCCCAAAGCCGGUGGCCUAACCUUCGGCAAGGAGCCGACUAAGGCAGGGCAGAUGACUGGGGUGAAGUCCUAACAAGGUAGCCGUACGAGAACCUGCGGCUGGAUCACCUCCUUUCUAAGGAAGCGAAGGAUAUGGAGAGUAGAAAUACUAAGAGAAGUAUCCAGAGCAAGCGGAAGCACACUGAGAAACUUUGCUUAGUUUUGAGGGUAACUCCUCAAGAGAGUUACUACAUUGAAAACUGAAUAUAAUCCAAUCAAAACACCGCCACACUAAAGGAGAACAUACUGUAGAGCGACCGAUAACAGAAUUCUUGAAUUAGGUCAAGUAGAAAAGGGCGCACGGUGAAUGCCUUGGCACUAAAAGCCGAUGAAGGACGCGACUAACUACGAAAGUCUUCGGGGAGCGGUAAGUAGGCUAUGAUCCGGAGGUCUCCGAAUGGGGGAACCCAAUGCAGCGAUGCAUUAUUGAAUUAAGUGAAUACAUAGCUUAAGGAGGGAACACGCAGCGA